AUUGAACGCUGGCGGCAUGCCUUACACAUGCAAGUCGAACGGCAGCGCGGACUUCGGUCUGGCGGCGAGUGGCGAACGGGUGAGUAAUACAUCGGAACGUACCCUGUUGUGGGGGAUAACUAGUCGAAAGAUUAGCUAAUACCGCAUACGACCUGAGGGUGAAAGUGGGGGACCGGAAACGGCCUCAUGCAGCAGGAGCGGCCGAUGUCUGAUUAGCUAGUUGGUGGGGUAAAGGCCCACCAAGGCGACGAUCAGUAGCUGGUCUGAGAGGACGAUCAGCCACACUGGGACUGAGACACGGCCCAGACUCCUACGGGAGGCAGCAGUGGGGAAUGUUGGACAAUGGGGGCAACCCUGAUCCAGCAAUGCCGCGUGUGUGAAGAAGGCCUUCGGGUUGUAAAGCACUUUUGUCCGGAAAGAAAUCGCGCUGGUUAAUACCUGGCGUGGAUGACGGUACCGGAAGAAUAAGCACCGGCUAACUACGUG
Molecule: ribosomal RNA, 486 nt
Filed under: uncultured bacterium
Lineage: Bacteria
Description: partial 16S ribosomal RNA
Rfam family: Bacterial small subunit ribosomal RNA
Source: RNAcentral